This 434-nucleotide ribosomal RNA is filed under the name uncultured Pseudobutyrivibrio sp. Its description in RNAcentral is "partial 16S ribosomal RNA". It matches the Rfam family "Bacterial small subunit ribosomal RNA", at positions 341 to 792 of the family's 1533-position model. The record is from RNAcentral. Lineage: Bacteria; Bacillati; Bacillota; Clostridia; Lachnospirales; Lachnospiraceae.
ACGGAAGGCAGCAGUGGGGAAUAUUGCACAAUGGGCGAAAGCCUGAUGCAGCGACGCCGCGUGAGCGAAGAAGUAUUUCGGUAUAUAAAGCUCUAUCAGCAGGGAAGAUAAUGACGGUACCUGACUAAGAAGCACCGGCUAAAUACGUGCCAGCAGCCGCGGUAAUACGUAUGGUGCAAGCGUUAUCCGGAUUUACUGGGUGUAAAGGGAGCGUAGGCGGUUUUACAAGUCUGAUGUGAAAGCCCGGGGCUCAACUCCGGUAUUGCAUUGGAAACUGUAGAACUAGAGUGUCGGAGGGGUAAGUGGAAUUCCUAGUGUAGCGGUGAAAUGCGUAGAUAUUAGGAGGAACACCAGUGGCGAAGGCGGCUUACUGGACGAUUACUGACGCUGAGGCUCGAAAGCGUGGGGAGCAAACAGGAUUAGAUACCCUGGUA